GGAAACGACUGAUAAUACCGCAUUAAGCGCACAGCACCGCAUGGUGCAGUGUGAAAAACUCCGGUGGUGUGAGAUGGACCCGCGUCUGAUUAGCUAGUUGGCGAGGUAACGGCCCACCAAGGCGACGAUCAGUAGCCGGCCCUGAGAGGGUGUACGGCCACAUUGGGACUGAGACACGGCCCAAACUCCUACGGGAGGCAGCAGUGGGGAAUAUUGGACAAUGGGGGCAACCCUGAUCCAGCGACGCCGCGUGAACGAAGAAGUAUUUCGGUAUGUAAAAGUUCUAUCAGCAGGGAAGAUAAUGACGGUACCUGACUAAGAAGCCCCGGCUAACUACGUGCC
Molecule: ribosomal RNA, 342 nt
Filed under: uncultured bacterium
Lineage: Bacteria
Description: bacterial SSU rRNA
Rfam family: Bacterial small subunit ribosomal RNA
Source: RNAcentral